CGCGGGAUGGAGCAGUUCGGUAGCUCGUCGGGCUCAUAACCCGAAGGUCGCAGGUUCAAAUCCUGCUCCCGCA
Molecule: transfer RNA, 73 nt
Filed under: Lacticaseibacillus paracasei
Lineage: Bacteria; Bacillati; Bacillota; Bacilli; Lactobacillales; Lactobacillaceae
Also listed under: 1 other name
Description: Lactobacillus paracasei tRNA-Met
Rfam family: tRNA
About the family: Transfer RNA (tRNA) molecules are approximately 80 nucleotides in length. Their secondary structure includes four short double-helical elements and three loops (D, anti-codon, and T loops).
Source: RNAcentral